UCUGGGAAUGGCUUCUUUAGUUCUUUGCGUAAGCUAGCAUUGCCACUAUUGCAUCGUGCAAAGCCUUACAUAGCCCGUACUGCGAUGAGCGCAGCGAAAAAUUUGGCGAAAAAGUUAUCUGAAGGGCAAAACAUCAAGCAAGCACUGAGAGCAAGCUCAAAUGAAUUAGGCACACAGAUUUUGAAGGACAUUGCAGGCAGCGGACAUCGAAGGAAAAAGAGGAAUAGAAGAGACAUUUUCGAUUAAUCCUCUGUAACCAUGAAAUAAAGAAGACACUUUUUUUUCAUAUGUUGAUGUUUCUUCCUUAUAAAGAAAAAAGGUUUUUCUAUGGAAAAGGGUCGCACUCCGAAAAUGGCGACCAAGAGGGGUUAGAAGUCGGGACAAUGGGUCGCCCCCUUUCACCUGUAGAAAGUGUGGCGGACAAUGCUUCGAAACGGCCAUCGCAUUCCGAAAUACAGGUGGCCCCAGGUAGGGCUGGCUUGUGAGGGUGUUGUCAAAAGGUAAAAGGGGGAUUGGAGGACAAUGAUUCCAAUCGUGAACGGGAUCGCAUUCAGAAAAGUGGUCGGCGGGGGGUUAGAGGAGUGGAACGGCUGAUGGUUAGCAAAAACGGACCAUGCUCGCCAGCGGACAAUGUCAAAUUGUAGGGGGACUGGAGGACAAUGAUUCCAAUUGUGAACAGGAUUGCAUUCUGAAAACAGCGGGUCAGUGGGGGGUUAAAAGUGUGCAUCAGCAUCCAAGCUGGUUAGAAGUUGAGCAAUGGGGCGCCUUUCACUUGUAGAAAGUGUGGUGGACAAUGCUUCGAAACGACCAUCGCAUUCCGAAAUACAGGUGGCCCAGGUAGGGUUGGGUUGAGAGGGCGAUGUCAAAAGGUAAAGGGGGAUUGGAAGAGUCUUUUUGCUCGGGUAAGAUGCUAACAAAUAAAGCUAUGAGGAAAGCAUUGUACCUUUUCAUUUGCAAAGAUGUCACAGGUCAACGUUGUACACGCACAGUCCCAGCUGGCUUUGAAGGGGGAGUGUGAGUUAUUCAACAUACCUCCGACCCAAGUUUCAAUAGAAUCAUGCGAGGCGCAAGUUUAUUAUCCUGUUUCUACAAUCAGCGGGGGAGAAUCGACGAUCGAAUGGAACAUAACAAAUCUCUCAGACUUGUAUCUCGAUUUAUCAUCUCUGUAUUUUAAUAUAACUAUGCAGAUAUUGAGGUCGGACGGGAGUGAACCAAUUACCCGAAGAGCAGAUGGUAUCACUGAGGACAUUGUAUUCCCAGUCAACAACUUGGGUGCCGCUUUAUUUAAAUAUGUAACCAUUCACUUGAAUCAACGUCUUGCAAGCAGCAACUGUUUGAACUCCUAUCGAUGUAUGAUUGAUACCCUACUUCAUACGAAUACUCAUCUGCAGAAGACUUUAGAUGAUUGUGCAAUGUAUACAUAUGAUACAGGAGAGCAUGCAGCAAAUGAUCCAGUCGCUCGGGAUGCAAAGUUGCGCAUAGCUAGGACAAGUGGGGGGAAACUAUUUGAAAUUGUCAUGAAAGUUAACACAGACCUCACAAACCAAGGGAGGCUUUUGUUACCCGGUGUGGGGGUUCGAGUGACUGCUCUACAUAAUACGGAUAGCUUUAGAUUGCUAACUGGCACCAAUGAAACUCAUAAGCAUCAAUUGAAAAUCCACAGCGCGGCACUUGUAGCACGCAAAGUCAAAGUUAGCAACUCAAGUUUUAUUGCACACCAGAAAGCCCUUAGAUCAUCCCCGGCAUGUUACAUCAUGCGUGGACUAGAAAGCAAAGUCCGCUCGCUUUCGCCGGGCCUUCAUGAUGCAAUCUUUGAAAACUUAUUCCCUGAUAGAAUUCCUGAUCAACUUACUGUAUGUCUAGUUCGCACCGAAGCUUAUCAGGGUGAUUACAAGUCGAGCCCCUUUUGUUUCGAACAUUUUAAUGUUAGUUCUGUAACACUAUCAGUUGAUGGACACAGGAAGCAACUAUCCUAUGACUGGGAAAAUGAUCUGGGUAGAGCAAGCUACUACGAAUUCUUGUAUCAACUGAAUGAAAAACAUGUUGAGUUGAGUUAUGAAAAAUAUAAAAAAAAUUCCUUUAUCAUGCAUUGGAACUUGAGUGCUGACGAAAGUUUUGGUUCCUACUUUAAUCCAUUGCGGAAGGGCAAUUGCAGGAUUGAAAUGAAGUUUGCUAAGCCAUUACCUUGCGCAGUGUCGGUUAUACUUAUUAGUGAAGCACCCAAGAUUUUAUCAGUUGAUGGUGAUCUUGUUGUUCGAGUGGACUAAGCAUGAAUGUGUUUGAUCUGGAAUUAUUGUUUUCUCUGAACCAUGAAACUUUGAAUCUGUAUCGCGGGACCUUCGCAAUUGAUAUGGUACCAAGUUUAACGACAGAAGGGUUUAUAGUUAUCAAUACACACCCACACGACGGUCCAGGAGAACACUGGCUAUUGUACAUGAGAGACAGGAAUGACAAGUACAUCUAUGUGGACAGCUUUGGUCUACCACCGAUUGAAGAAGAGCUGCUAGAUCUACCUGUUGAUCAGUACUGCGAGAAAUGCAUUCAAAGCAUUUACAGCUCACACUGUGGACUUUUUGUUUGUUUCUUUGCUUCCCGCCUUUGUAAGAAUUACCAACUCAAGAGCAUUGUUUCCUUAUUUGACAAUAACCUUGUACACAAUGACCUCAAGAUAAUAAAAAUGAUUGAAGAGGAAUACCUCAUUUAAAGAAAAAUGUCUCAUUUUAUUUCUUCAAUGUACAGACCUCUUUCAGAUAGUCCUCCAGACUCGACACCUUGCGACAACCAUCUUUCUUGCGACGCACGAUGUAUUCCGAGUGUUGGAUGUAAAAGUUUCGAAUUAUUGGUCGCUUGAGUCCAGCAUUAAGUAUGGUUGGAGAGAUAUUGUCACCCUGACGAUAUCGUCGCAACAAGUCACACUUGAUGGCGACGAAGCGUUGGAGCCUCCGACUAAUCUUUCCUCGUUUCGUCCGCAUCGGAAACGGGAGAAUUUGCAUAAUGAGACGAAAAUCGGCCUCUGGCCCGUUGCAGUUCAGAUAGGAGUUUAAUUUCAUCAAAUCCUUGUACAUCAGCCAUUGUACCGUCAAAGCAAAUCGUUCACUGGGCUUCAUGGUUGAUCCGAGCUUGGAUGGCAACCGAGAUAAGGUCGGAUGUUAUUGUCUAGCCAAUGAGAUGGAUUCGAUGACCACAAUCCACCACAACGACAGCGUCGCAGAUGCUCAUCAUAUUGUAUAAAGAAAGUUCUGGGUGGUGGCUUCAAUGUCUUCACAAGAGGAAGAUCCCCCGUCAGGAGACAAUCAGAAUCUUAACAAAGAAUCACAUUUUUAGAGAGGGAAAAACGGGAAAACUUUCUAUACAUACAAUCGUCCUCGGAGACCGCGUAGCACUUCUGCGCUUCCAUCGUCGACUGUGAGGGGGAUGUUGAAAAGGAAUCCGAUGGAGAGGAUGUGCAUACUUUCCCUAUUGGUUGCGUUUUUCCUUAGUUUGCAAUUGGUUGUUUACUACAAAGACUUUUGCUACAUGUGGAUUUCUCUAGCCCACCAUCUUGUUGCUAAAAGUUGUUUAUACAAAGUAGGAGAGGAUGUGAUAUGAUAAUGAGGAUGCGUCAGCUUUAAAAAAUGAAGAUUUGGUUCCUAGAGCAUCACUUGGAAGCAAUAUGGCCAACGAUGGUGUUUUCUCCAGUUUUGAAGAUGAUGAUGAUAGUGUGUUCACGUCGAGCCCUGUG
Ornithodoros turicata is the source of this 3721-nucleotide long non-coding RNA. RefSeq lists it as uncharacterized. The transcript has 3 exons. The record is from RefSeq and is a predicted model, not a curated record. NCBI's taxonomy places the organism in Eukaryota, Metazoa, Arthropoda, Arachnida, Ixodida, Argasidae.